RNAcentral lists this ribosomal RNA (465 nucleotides) under uncultured bacterium. RNAcentral describes it as "partial 16S ribosomal RNA". It matches the Rfam family "Bacterial small subunit ribosomal RNA", at positions 28 to 507 of the family's 1533-position model. The record is from RNAcentral.
GAUGAACGCUGGCGGCGUGCUUAACACAUGCAAGUCGAACGGAAAGGCUCCUGCUUGCAGGGGUACUCGAGUGGCGAACGGGUGAGUAACACGUGGGUGAUCUGCCCUGCACUUCGGGAUAAGCCUGGGAAACUGGGUCUAAUACCGGAUAGGACGAUGGUUUGGAUGCCAUUGUGGAAAGUUUUUCGGUGUGGGAUGAGCUCGCGGCCUAUCAGCUUGUUGGUGGGGUAAUGGCCUACCAAGGCGUCGACGGGUAGCCGGCCUGAGAGGGUGUACGGCCACAUUGGGACUGAGAUACGGCCCAGACUCCUACGGGAGGCAGCAGUGGGGAAUAUUGCACAAUGGGCGCAAGCCUGAUGCAGCAACGCCGCGUGGGGGAUGACGGCCUUCGGGUUGUAAACUCCUUUCGCUAGGGACGAAGCGCAAGUGACGGUACCUGGAGAAGAAGCACCGGCUAACUACGUG